GCCGCUGUGGCGGAAUUGGCAGACGCACGUGACUCAAAAUCACGCGGUUAAUAGCCGUGCCGGUUCGAGUCCGGCCAGCGGCA
RNAcentral lists this transfer RNA (83 nucleotides) under Blautia producta. RNAcentral describes it as "tRNA-Leu". It matches the Rfam family "tRNA". Rfam says of the family: Transfer RNA (tRNA) molecules are approximately 80 nucleotides in length. Their secondary structure includes four short double-helical elements and three loops (D, anti-codon, and T loops). The record is from RNAcentral. Lineage: Bacteria; Bacillati; Bacillota; Clostridia; Lachnospirales; Lachnospiraceae.